Molecule: transfer RNA, 87 nt
Filed under: Candidatus Karelsulcia muelleri
Lineage: Bacteria; Pseudomonadati; Bacteroidota; Flavobacteriia; Flavobacteriales
Description: tRNA-Leu
Rfam family: tRNA
About the family: Transfer RNA (tRNA) molecules are approximately 80 nucleotides in length. Their secondary structure includes four short double-helical elements and three loops (D, anti-codon, and T loops).
Source: RNAcentral
GCCUGGAUGGUGAAAUUGGUAUACACACAGGACUUAAAAUCCUGGAGCUUGUAAAAAGCUGUGUGGGUUCAAAUCCCACUCUAGGUA